RNAcentral lists this ribosomal RNA (502 nucleotides) under uncultured bacterium. RNAcentral's name for it is "bacterial SSU rRNA". It matches the Rfam family "Bacterial small subunit ribosomal RNA", at positions 38 to 507 of the family's 1533-position model. The record is from RNAcentral.
GGCGGCGUGCCGUAAUACAUGCAAGUCGAGCGCAGGAAACAGUAGAUCCUUCGGGUGACGCUUGUGGAAUGAGCGGCGGACGGGUGAGUAACACGUGGGCAACCUACCUUGUAGACUGGGAUAACUCCGGGAAACCGGAGCUAAUACGGGAUGAUCAUUUGAAUCGCAUGAUUGAAAUGUAAAAGUGGGGAGUAAUCCUCACACUAUGAGAUGGGCCCGCGGCGCAUUAGCUAGUUGGUAAGGUAAUGGCUUACCAAGGCAACGAUGCGUAGCCGACCUGAGAGGGUGAUCGGCCACACUGGAACUGAGACACGGUCCAGACUCCUACGGGAGGCAGCAGUAGGGAAUCAUCCGCAAUGGGCGAAAGCCUGACGGUGCAACGCCGCGUGAACGAUGAAGGUUUUCGGAUCGUAAAGUUCUGUUAUGAGGGAAGAACAAGUGCCGUUCGAAUAGGGCGGCACCUUGACGGUACCUCACGAGAAAGCCCCCGGCUAACUACGUG